UUGGAUAUCCCGGUGCAAGCGUGUAGGAAUAUCCGGUAGGCAAAUCCGCCGGACGAAUCUGAGACGCGAGUCCGUGGGCGCAAGCCCUGAAGCCGUUGAGUCUAUGCUGCCUAGAAAAGCUCCUAAGUUUAUCCACAGCAAUCCGUACCGCAAACCAACUCAGGUGGGUGGGAUGAACAAUCCAAGGCGCUCGAGAGAACUCUGGCCAAGGAACUCGGCAAAAUAACCCCGUAACUUCGGAAGAAGGGGUGCUCUCUAGGGUGACAUGUUUAACAUAUGAAGCCCCGGGGAGCCGCAGUGAAUUGGUGGUGGCGACUGUUUACUAAAAACAUAGGUCUGUGCGAAGUCCUAAAGACGACGUAUACGGACUGACGCCUGCCCGGUGCUGGAAGGUUAAAAGGAGGGGUCAGCGCAAGCAAAGCUCCGAAUUGAAGCCCCAGUAAACGGCGGCCGUAACUAUAACGGUCCUAAGGUAGCGAAAUUCCUUGUCGGGUAAGUUCCGACCUGCACGAAUGGCGUAACGAUCUCCACACUGUCUCGGCCAGAGACUCGGUGAAAUUGCAGUCGCGGUGAAAAUUCCGUGUACCCGCAGAAAGACGGAAAGACCCUGUGCACCUUUACUAUAGCUUGACAUUGGAUUUUGGGCCUGCAUGUGUAGGAUAGGUGGGAGGCUGUGAACCCUGUACGCCAGUAUGGGGGGAGCCAUCCUUGAAAUACCACCCUUGCAUGUUUAAGAUCCUAACUUCUUCCGGUUAUCCCGGAGAAAGACAGUGUCUGGCGGGUAGUUUGACUGGGGCGGUCGCCUCCUAAAGUGUAACGGAGGCAUGCAAAGGUUCCCUCAGCCUGAUCGGAAACCAGGCGCUGAGUGCAAACGCAUAAGGGAGCUUGACUGUAAGAGAGACAUCUCGAACAGGAACGAAAGUUGGCGUUAGUGAUCCGGUGGUCCCGAAUGGAAGGGCCAUCGCUCAUUGGAUAAAAGGUACGCCGGGGAUAACAGGCUGAUCGCAUCCAAGAGUUCACAUCGACGAUGCGGUUUGGCACCUCGAUGUCGGCUCAUCACAUCCUGGGGCUGAAGCAGGUCCCAAGGGUACGGCUGUUCGCCGUUUAAAGUGGUACGCGAGCUGGGUUUAAAACGUCGUGAGACAGUUUGGUCCCUAUCUUCUGUGGGCGAAGGAGAAUUGAGAGGGCCUGUCCCUAGUACGAGAGGACCGGGAUGGACGCACCCCUGGUGAUCCUGUUGUCGCGCCAGCGGCAUAGCAGGGUAGCUAUGUGCGGAAGGGAUAACCGCUGAAAGCAUCUAAGCGGGAAGCCUGCCUCAAGAUAAGUUCUCCCCUCGAAAGAGCUGAAGGGCCCGGGUAGACUACCCGGUCGAUAGGCUGGAGGUGUAAGCGCGGCGACGUGCUCAGCUGACCAGUACUAAUAGCCCGAGCGGCUUAUUU
This 1439-nucleotide ribosomal RNA is filed under the name Bilophila wadsworthia ATCC 49260. RNAcentral's name for it is "bacterial LSU rRNA". It matches the Rfam family "Bacterial large subunit ribosomal RNA", at positions 1498 to 2925 of the family's 2925-position model. Lineage: Bacteria; Pseudomonadati; Thermodesulfobacteriota; Desulfovibrionia; Desulfovibrionales; Desulfovibrionaceae. The record is from RNAcentral.